GUCUCGGUAGCUCAGUGGUAGAGCGUGGGAUUGCAGUGUCUACGAUCCUAUGGAUCUAGCAAACAAGCAAUCAUCCUAAGGUCAGGCGUUCGAACCGCCUUCGGGACU
Non-coding RNA from Microdochium trichocladiopsis, 108 nucleotides. The record is from the annotation of a RefSeq genome assembly. Lineage: Eukaryota; Fungi; Ascomycota; Sordariomycetes; Xylariales; Microdochiaceae.